This 447-nucleotide ribosomal RNA is filed under the name uncultured bacterium. RNAcentral describes it as "bacterial SSU rRNA". It matches the Rfam family "Bacterial small subunit ribosomal RNA", at positions 28 to 453 of the family's 1533-position model. The record is from RNAcentral.
GACGAACGCUAGCGGCGUGCCUAAGCUAUGCAAGUCGAGCGGGGUUUCAGAGUCGAGUUUCCUUCGGGAGACAAAGCACUGAAACCUAGCGGCGAACGGGUGAGUAACACGUGAGCAACCUACCCUGUUGUCCGGGAUAACAGACCGAAAGGCCUGCUAAUACCGGAUACGAAGCUCCUUCGCAUGUUGGAGCUUGGAAAGGGGCAACCCGCAAUGGGAGGGGCUUACGGCCUAUCAGCUAGUUGGUGAGGUAACGGCCCACCAAGGCGACGACGGGUAGCCGACCUGAGAGGGUGACCGGCCACACUGGGACUGAGACACGGCCCAGACUCCUACGGGAGGCAGCAAGCGGGAAUCUUGCACAAUGGGCGCAAGCCUGAUGCAGCGACGCCGCGUGAGGGAUGAAGGCCUUCGGGUCGUAAACCUCUGUUGAUGGGGACGAAGAUC